This 465-nucleotide ribosomal RNA is filed under the name Vreelandella stevensii. RNAcentral's name for it is "partial 16S ribosomal RNA". It matches the Rfam family "Bacterial small subunit ribosomal RNA", at positions 338 to 795 of the family's 1533-position model. The record is from RNAcentral. Lineage: Bacteria; Pseudomonadati; Pseudomonadota; Gammaproteobacteria; Oceanospirillales; Halomonadaceae.
CCUACGGGUGGCAGCAGUGGGGAAUAUUGGACAAUGGGCGAAAGCCUGAUCCAGCCAUGCCGCGUGUGUGAAGAAGGCCUUCGGGUUGUAAAGCACUUUCAGUGGGGAAGAAAGCCUUGGGGCUAAUACCCUCGAGGAAGGACAUCACCCACAGAAGAAGCACCGGCUAACUCCGUGCCAGCAGCCGCGGUAAUACGGAGGGUGCGAGCGUUAAUCGGAAUUACUGGGCGUAAAGUGCGCGUAGGCGGUCUGAUAAGCCGGUUGUGAAAGCCCCGGGCUCAACCUGGGAACGGCAUCCGGAACUGUCAGGCUAGAGUGCAGGAGAGGAAGGUAGAAUUCCCGGUGUAGCGGUGAAAUGCGUAGAGAUCGGGAGGAAUACCAGUGGCGAAGGCGGCCUUCUGGACUGACACUGACGCUGAGGUGCGAAAGCGUGGGUAGCAAACAGGAUUAGAUACCCUAGUAGUC